Long non-coding RNA from Mauremys reevesii (Reeves's turtle), 2031 nucleotides. RefSeq lists it as uncharacterized. The record is from RefSeq and is a predicted model, not a curated record. Lineage: Eukaryota; Metazoa; Chordata; Testudines; Geoemydidae. The transcript is spliced from 3 exons.
GCACCGGGGUCCAGGAGGGACACCAGGGCCAGUGGCAAGUGAGACACCGACCUGCAGAGGGUGCUUCUGGAGGCUGGCUGACUAAUUCCCUGGACGACCAGCAGGAGAUGCUGCAGGGAAGAAAGCUCUUAUUGGUUGUACCACACAAGGAAAUGCAUGACAUCACAAAAGGUAGAAAAGACAAGCUUCACAGCAUACUCCUAAGUGAUUUAAAGUUUCAGCAGACCACACCCUACUGGUUACUUAGCACAGAGGAAGGGCUGCACAAGCCUGCAUGUUCAGACUUCUCAGCUUAUCAACAUUUAGUACAGGUUUAAAGAGCUGAAUGAAAACCUAAGGACUGGUUCAAGACAAAGAUUUGUGGUUGUUUUCCCCUGAAGGAGGAAGAGGCAGCUAGAAAAGACUGAAUAACCCUUUUCUGCUUUAGAACUUUUGAAAUUUAAGCUUCAUUGUUUCUUAAGAAGAUGGACUUUGAACACAGCCCUAGGUCUCUAACCACAGACUCUGGCUUCAAGGAUCCUAGGUUCUAUUCCUGGUUCUGCCAUUGACUUGCUGAGACCUCAGGCAAAUCACUUAAAUAUCACUUAUCCCUUUUUUGCUUUUUUAUGGUGCAUAAAUGAGGCCUGAGCAAUUUUUUCUGAUUGACUUUAUUUUUAAAAGCAGUCAAAAUAUCAGGUUUGGUUUUCCUUACUUUUGCUAAAGGACCUCUGGGAGGAAUCAGAGAAUGUUUAUUGUAAGAUCUAACACCUUCAUUGAAAAGACAAAGGUGCUGAAUUUAAAAAAAAUUCCUUUAUCCAUAAUGUUAGUCAGUCAUUGGAAUUAUAUAGGUGUUAGCAAAAACAACUAAAACCAGACUUUUAAAACCAGUUUAACGAGAAAUCACUUUCCCCCUCAAUUGUUCAACUUUCACUUUCUUGGCUCUUGAGAUGUCACCAUUUCACUAAUUUUCCAAUAGUCACAGAGUUUCAGGCCUAGAAUAUUUUUAGUAUGAAAAAGAAGCCUUUUUUAAAGAGACCUUUCAAGCCUUUUUUAUAUAAUAUACAGCAACAAAAAAGACCACAGCUUAUUCCUCUCCCUCCUCUGCCCCAUUCCUCCAUCUUGCAGGUCUCCUUUAUCCUAACUGUCUCAGUUUAUCUAUCUAUCUUUACCUGUUUCACUGUUUUUUAAUCCUUCUAGUGUUUUUUCAAUAGCUACAGAUGAAAAGUACUAUGGAAGUGCUAAAUAUUAUUUACAACACUGUUUUUGUAAAGCAAAAACACAAUUAAAAUAAAUUUAUAUAUUCCUUUCUGUAAGUCCAUCACAGCACCUUCCCUAAAAUAGGAUAGUUGUAAGUAAGUUAAAAAAAAUCUCUCUUUACUUUUAAAUUCAUACUUCAAACUAAAAAACAAGUUAUCUACUCCGAACGUAGCAUAUUCGGUCAGAUGCUACUGACCAAUUAUAGCCUGCAAGUAGAGUGGUUUAAAUAGCUCAGUUUAGAGCCAUGCAAAAAGAAAAUAAUCCAAACCCACAUUUAUUUUAAAAAAGUCAAUUUCUUAGGAGUCAGCAGCUGAAGAAUCAGUACUAGAAUGACUAGCCUUUUAAAAAUUAAGGUCAAUACUCUGUAAUCUUGAUUUCAAGUUUGACUAUUUUAGAACAGGCAAGCUAAACAUUACAAAAAUCUUACCUUUUAUAGAUAAGAAUAAAAAAAGAAAGUACCAGGCCAUAAACAUCUAAGAGAUAAAAAGCCAUACAGGUAAUACAGCAUUGCAAUAAAGUGACUGAGCAUGAAUGUUUACAAUAACAAAAACAUCUUUUUUGUCUGAAAGAAUAUUUUCAUUGGAGGAAAACUAAUCUAGUGAUUACAUGAAUCACUAAAAAUACAGUGCCUUCAAUUACCAUAAUGAUAAUUUUCCACUAAGAAAGGAAGCAUUAUUCAGUUCAAACAUUAUUUUCAAAGGAAGGAAGGCCAGUUCUGAAGAUGUACUCAUUAUAUAACACCGAUCCUGUAGCAAUCCUAUUUCAUGUUAAAAACAAAAUAAAAAAUUCAGCAGU